UACGAAGGGGGCUAGCGUUGCUCGGAAUUACUGGGCGUAAAGGGCGCGUAGGCGGACAUUUAAGUUAGAGGUGAAAGCCCAGGGCUCAACCCUGGAGUAGCCUUUAAUACUGGAUGUCUUGAGUUCGGGAGAGGUGAGUGGAACUCCGAGUGUAGAGGUGAAAUUCGUAGAUAUUCGGAAGAACACCAGUGGCGAAGGCGACUCACUGGCCCGAUACUGACGCUGAGGCGCGAAAGCGUGGGGAGCAAACAGG
RNAcentral lists this ribosomal RNA (253 nucleotides) under uncultured bacterium. Its description in RNAcentral is "partial 16S ribosomal RNA". It matches the Rfam family "Bacterial small subunit ribosomal RNA", at positions 524 to 776 of the family's 1533-position model. The record is from RNAcentral.